GGAUUUCCAUCCUCCCUCAACAAUCCAUGUGCGUCCCUCCCGAAGUUGUGCGCUCGGUCGAAGAGGACGACCACCCCUGAUAGAGGAGGUCCGUUCCUCCAUCAAGGGUGUACGAGUAGCUGCGCUCCCUUGCUAGAACCUCCAAACAAGCUCUCAUGGACAAAAGAUUUCUGUGGUGACCUCCAACAGUUUAGAAACUCUUAUCAAGACCCCUCCUGAGAAGUGGCUCUCGAAU
This 235-nucleotide small nuclear RNA is filed under the name Cavia porcellus (domestic guinea pig). RNAcentral's name for it is "7SK RNA". It matches the Rfam family "7SK RNA", at positions 83 to 331 of the family's 331-position model. Rfam says of the family: 7SK was discovered as an abundant small nuclear RNA in the mid-70s but a possible function has only recently been suggested. Two independent studies have found that 7SK RNA binds the CDK9/cyclin T complex (known as elongation factor P-TEFb). Lineage: Eukaryota; Metazoa; Chordata; Mammalia; Rodentia; Caviidae. The record is from Rfam by way of RNAcentral.